AUUGCAUAAUCAGAAUCAGAUACCCGUAAGGGAUAAAGGGAAUCAGGUGCAAGCCCUGAGCGGUCCCGCCACUGUAACCGGUUACGAACCAUAGUUAUGCCACUGAGAAAUUGGGAAGGUAUAUGGUUAGGAUGAUCCGGAAGCCAGGAGACCUGUCUGGUUCGUUGGCAGAAC
This 174-nucleotide non-coding RNA is filed under the name Syntrophomonas zehnderi. Lineage: Bacteria; Bacillati; Bacillota; Clostridia; Eubacteriales; Syntrophomonadaceae. The record is from RNAcentral. RNAcentral also lists the same sequence under 1 other name.